CCUACGGGAGGCAGCAGUAAGGAAUAUUGGACAAUGCUCGCAAGAGUGAUCCAGCCAUGCCGCGUGCAGGAAGACGGCCCUAUGGGUUGUAAACUGCUUUUGAACUAGAGAAAACCCUUCUACGUGUAGAAGGCUGAUAGUAUAGUUAGAAUAAGCAUCGGCUAACUUCGUGCCAGCAGCCGCGGUAAGACGAAGGAUGCAAGCGUUAUCCGGAUUCAUUGGGUUUAAAGGGAGCGUAGGUGGACUGAUAAGUCAGUGGUGAAAUCUCUCGGCUUAACCGAGAAAUUGCCAUUGAUACUGUUGGUCUUGAGUACAGUUGCUGUGGGCGGAAUAUGACAUGUAGUGGUGAAAUACAUAGAGAUGUCAUAGAACACCGAUUGCGAAGGCAGUUCACAAAGCUGUAACUGACACUGAGGCUCGAAAGUGCGGGGAUCAAACAGGAUUAGAUACCCUGGUAGUCCGCACUGUAAACGAUGAUUACUCGCUGCUGGGAGGUAACUUUCAGUGGCUUAGCGAAAGCGAUAAGUAAUCCACCUGGGGAGUACGCCGGCAACGGUGAAACUCAAANAGAGUAGAGGNGNGAGAGNGCGAGGCGACACGAGGGGAGGAGG
This 611-nucleotide ribosomal RNA is filed under the name uncultured bacterium. RNAcentral describes it as "bacterial SSU rRNA". It matches the Rfam family "Bacterial small subunit ribosomal RNA", at positions 338 to 956 of the family's 1533-position model. The record is from RNAcentral.